RNAcentral lists this ribosomal RNA (1145 nucleotides) under uncultured cyanobacterium. Its description in RNAcentral is "bacterial SSU rRNA". It matches the Rfam family "Bacterial small subunit ribosomal RNA", at positions 377 to 1533 of the family's 1533-position model. Lineage: Bacteria; Bacillati; Cyanobacteriota. The record is from RNAcentral.
CGAAGCCUGACGGAGCAAUACCGCGUGAGGGAAGAAGGCUUUUGGGUUGUAAACCUCUUUUGUCAGGGAAGAAGAAUUGACGGUACCUGAAGAAAAAGCAUCGGCUAACUCCGUGCCAGCAGCCGCGGUAAUACGGAGGAUGCAAGCGUUAUCCGGAAUCAUUGGGCGUAAAGGGUCCGCAGGUGGCGAAUAAAGUCUGCUGUUAAAGACCGGGGCUAAACUCCGGAAAGGCAGUGGAAACUGAUUAGCUAGAGUACGGUAGGGGUAGAGGGAAUUCCCAGUGUAGCGGUGAAAUGCGUAGAUAUUGGGAAGAACACCGGUGGCGAAAGCGCUCUACUAGGCCGAAACUGACACUGAGGGACGAAAGCUAGGGUAGCGAAAGGGAUUAGAUACCCCUGUAGUCUUAGCUGUAAACGAUGGAUACUAGGCGUAGCUUGUAUCGACCCGAGCUGUGCCGAAGCUAACGCGAUAAGUAUCCCGCCUGGGGAGUACGCACGCAAGUGUGAAACUCAAAGGAAUUGACGGGGGCCCGCACAAGCGGUGGAGUAUGUGGUUUAAUUCGAUGCAACGCGAAGAACCUUACCAGGGCUUGACAUGUCGCGAAUCUGGCGGAAACGUUAGAGUGCCUUAGGGAACGCGAACACAGGUGGUGCAUGGCUGUCGUCAGCUCGUGUCGUGAGAUGUUGGGUUAAGUCCCGCAACGAGCGCAACCCUCGUCCUUAGUUGCCAAUAUUAAGUUAGGCACUCUAGGGAGACUGCCGGGGACAACUCGGAGGAAGGUGGGGAUGACGUCAAGUCAGCAUGCCCCUUACGUCCUGGGCGACACACGUACUACAAUGGUUGGGACAAAGGGCAGCAAGCUCGCGAGAGUAAGCGAAUCUCAUCAAACCCAGCCACAGUUCAGAUUGCAGGCUGCAACUCGCCUGCAUGAAGUAGGAAUCGCUAGUAAUCGCAGGUCAGCAUACUGCGGUGAAUUCGUUCCCGGGCCUUGUACACGCCGCCCGUCACACCAUGGAAGCUGGCUACGCCCGAAGUCGUUACCCUAACCCGGUUUUGGGAGGGGGAUGCCGAAGGUAGAGCUAGUGACUGGGGUGAAGUCGUAACAAGGUAGCCGUACCGGAAGGUGUGGCUGGAUCACCUCCUUU